CCCAAUGAUGGGCUAGGCGGGAGAUCGCAAGAUCGCCGUUCGCUAGAUUCGGUAAGACCAAUUCUGCUUAGCUCAUCACCAAU
Molecule: non-coding RNA, 83 nt
Filed under: Mannheimia haemolytica
Lineage: Bacteria; Pseudomonadati; Pseudomonadota; Gammaproteobacteria; Pasteurellales; Pasteurellaceae
Source: RNAcentral